AUGACAAGUCCGAACGAUGAACCUCCCUUUCCGGGAGGGGAUUAGUGGCGAACGGGUGAGUAACACGUGGGCAAUCUGCCCUGCACUCUGGGACAAGCCCUGGAAACGGGGUCUAAUACCGGAUAUGACACACGACCGCAUGGUCUGUGUGUGGAAAGCUCCGGCGGUGCAGGAUGAGCCCGCGGCCUAUCAGCUUGUUGGUGGGGUAAUGGCCUACCAAGGCGACGACGGGUAGCCGGCCUGAGAGGGCGACCGGCCACACUGGGACUGAGACACGGCCCAGACUCCUACGGGAGGCAGCAGUGGGGAAUAUUGCACAAUGGGCGAAAGCCUGAUGCAGCGACGCCGCGUGAGGGAUGACGGCCUUCGGGUUGUAAACCUCUUUCAGCAGGGAAGAAGCGCAAGUGACGGUACCUGCAGAAGAAGCGCCGGCUAACUACGUGCCAGCAGCCGCGGUAAUACGUAGGGCGCAAGCGUUGUCCGGAAUUAUUGGGCGUAAAGAGCUCGUAGGCGGCUUGUCACGUCGGAUGUGAAAGCCCGGGGCUUAACCCCGGGUCUGCAUUCGAUACGGGCAGGCUAGAGUUCGGUAGGGGAGAUCGGAAUUCCUGGUGUAGCGGUGAAAUGCGCAGAUAUCAGGAGGAACACCGGUGGCGAAGGCGGAUCUCUGGGCCGAUACUGACGCUGAGGAGCGAAAGCGUGGGGAGCGAACAGGAUUAGAUACCCUGGUAGUCCACGCCGUAAACGUUGGGAACUAGGUGUGGGCGACAUUCCACGUCGUCCGUGCCGCAGCUAACGCAUUAAGUUCCCCGCCUGGGGGAGUACGGCCGCAAGGCUAAAACUCAAAGGAAUUGACGGGGGCCCGCACAAGCAGCGGAGCAUGUGGCUUAAUUCGACGCAACGCGAAGAACCUUACCAAGGCUUGACAUACACCGGAAACGUCUGGAGACAGGCGCCCCCUUGUGGUCGGUGUACAGGUGGUGCAGGGCUGUCGUCACCUCGUGUCGUGAGAAGUUUGGGUUAAUUCCCGCAACAAGGGCAACCCUUGUUUUUUGUUUCCACAAGCCCUUCCGGGGGAUGGGGGAACUCCAGGAGAAUGCGCGGGGUCAACUCGGAGGAAGGUGGGGACGACGUCAAGUCAUCAUGCCCCUUAUGUCUUGGGCUGCACACGUGCUACAAUGGUCGGUACAAUGAGCUGCGAUACCGCGAGGUGGAGCGAAUCUCAAAAAGCCGAUCUCAGUUCGGAUUGGGGUCUGCAACUCGACCCCAUGAAGUUGGAGUUGCUAGUAAUCGCAGAUCAGCAUUGCUGCGGUGAAUACGUUCCCGGGCCUUGUACACACCGCCCGUCACGUCACGAAAGUCGGUAACACCCGAAGCCGGUGGCCCAACCCCUUGUGGGAGGGAAUCGUCGAAGGUGGGACUGGCGAUUGGGAC
RNAcentral lists this ribosomal RNA (1431 nucleotides) under Streptomyces sp. RNAcentral's name for it is "bacterial SSU rRNA". It matches the Rfam family "Bacterial small subunit ribosomal RNA". Lineage: Bacteria; Bacillati; Actinomycetota; Actinomycetes; Kitasatosporales; Streptomycetaceae. The record is from RNAcentral.